UGCCAGCAGCCGCGGUAAUACGAAGGGUGCUAGCGUUGUUCGGAAUCAUUGGGCGUAAAGGGUGUGCAGGCUGGAAAGUGUGUCUGAUGUGAAAGCCCGGGGCUUAACCCCGGAAGUGCAUUGGAAACUGCUUUUCUUGAAUCUCGGAGAGGGUAGUGGAGUUCCUGGUGUAGAGGUGAAAUUCGUAGAUAUCAGGAGGAACACCGGUGGCGAAGGCGACUGCCUGGACGAUGAUUGACGCUGAGACACGAAAGCGUGGGUAGCAAACAGGAUUAGAUA
Molecule: ribosomal RNA, 279 nt
Filed under: uncultured bacterium
Lineage: Bacteria
Description: partial 16S ribosomal RNA
Rfam family: Bacterial small subunit ribosomal RNA
Source: RNAcentral